GAUGAACGCUGGCGGCGUGCUUAACACAUGCAAGUCGAACGAAGCACUUUGAUCGAUUUCUUCGGAUUGAAAUUUUAGUGACUGAGUGGCGGACGGGUGAGUAACGCGUGGGUAACCUGCCUCACACAGGGGGAUAACAGUUGGAAACGGCUGCUAAUACCGCAUAAGCGCACAGUACCGCAUGGUACAGUGUGAAAAACUCCGGUGGUGUGAGAUGGACCCGCGUCUGAUUAGCUAGUUGGCAGGGCAACGGCCUACCAAGGCGACGAUCAGUAGCCGACCUGAGAGGGUGACCGGCCACAUUGGGACUGAGACACGGCCCAAACUCCUACGGGAGGCAGCAGUGGGGAAUAUUGCACAAUGGGGGAAACCCUGAUGCAGCGACGCCGCGUGAGCGAAGAAGUAUUUCGGUAUGUAAAGCUCUAUCAGCAGGGAAGAAGAAAUGACGGUACCUGACUAAGAAGCAC
Molecule: ribosomal RNA, 467 nt
Filed under: uncultured bacterium
Lineage: Bacteria
Description: bacterial SSU rRNA
Rfam family: Bacterial small subunit ribosomal RNA
Source: RNAcentral